AACGAACGCUGGCGGCGCGCCUAAUACAUGCAAGUCGAGCGAGAAGGUGUAGCAAUACACUUGUAAAGCGGCGAACGGGUGAGGAAUGCAUGGGUAACCUACCCUCGAGUGGGGAAUAACUAGCCGAAAGGUUAGCUAAUACCGCAUACGUUUCCGGAACUUCGGUUUCGGAAAGAAAGCAAUACCGUGGGUAUUGCGCUCCUGGAUGGGCUCAUGUCCUAUCAGCUUGUUGGUGAGGUAACGGCUCACCAAGGCUUCGACGGGUAGCUGGUCUGAGAGGACGAUCAGCCACACUGGCACUGCGACACGGCCAGACUCCUACGGGAGCAGCAGUAAGGAUAUUGCGCAAUGGACGAAAGUCUGACGCAGCGACGCCGCGU
RNAcentral lists this ribosomal RNA (380 nucleotides) under uncultured bacterium. RNAcentral describes it as "bacterial SSU rRNA". It matches the Rfam family "Bacterial small subunit ribosomal RNA", at positions 29 to 402 of the family's 1533-position model. The record is from RNAcentral.